AUGAGUAUGGACGAGCGUUCCCAAAAUAAGGCAAAAAUAUCUCCAGUCACAAGUGAAACUUAUGCAGAAGUGAGCAGCAGUGAAUGGGAUUUCAUAAAGAUGAAUGAACAAGAGGUGGAUCUCAUAUGCAGAAUGCACGAUUUAGUUGGAGAUAGAUGGAAUUUGAUAGCAGGCCGCAUUCCAGGUCGCAAAGCUGAAGAAAUUGAGAGAUUUUGGAUUAUGAGACAUGCUCAUCAUGCAAACAGAUAUCAUCAACGUAAAGCAAAUUGA
Molecule: non-coding RNA, 270 nt
Organism: Vicia faba (fava bean)
Lineage: Eukaryota; Viridiplantae; Streptophyta; Magnoliopsida; Fabales; Fabaceae
Source: the annotation of a GenBank genome assembly